This 110-nucleotide small RNA is filed under the name Limibacillus halophilus. RNAcentral's name for it is "rpsB sRNA". It matches the Rfam family "rpsB sRNA". The record is from Rfam by way of RNAcentral. Lineage: Bacteria; Pseudomonadati; Pseudomonadota; Alphaproteobacteria; Rhodospirillales; Rhodovibrionaceae.
CGCACGCGGGUAAUGCGGUGCGCCGGGGAGAAAUCCCGGUGUUUCGCUCCGGUGUCCGGGAUGUCCCGGAUAAUCCCCCCGCGGAGGCAUAACCGGAAAAGAGGUACGAC